This 203-nucleotide long non-coding RNA is filed under the name Panax ginseng (ginseng). Its description in RNAcentral is "long non-coding RNA (PGIN_LNC006613)". The record is from RNAcentral. Lineage: Eukaryota; Viridiplantae; Streptophyta; Magnoliopsida; Apiales; Araliaceae.
UCCCUUCCAUAGAGCAACACGUAACAACACAUGAUCUCCAACAUUAAAUUCCACGCUCCUUCGAUGAAAAUCAGCAUAACUCUUUUAUCGAUCUUGUGAGGUAUUUAUACGUUGCCGGAUCAUUUGAAUCUUUUUUGUUGUCAUGCGUACCAAUUUUUGUCCCAACAAUGUUGCUUCACCCACCUCAUCCCAGCAUACUGGAG